Molecule: long non-coding RNA, 227 nt
Filed under: Capsicum annuum
Lineage: Eukaryota; Viridiplantae; Streptophyta; Magnoliopsida; Solanales; Solanaceae
Description: long non-coding RNA (CANN_LNC000718)
Source: RNAcentral
UUGUUAGUGAAAGUCCCAAAUUUUCAAAUCUCACAUCUUCGAUGUGGGUAUUCUUGUAGAUCCAAUAUCAUUCUUGAAUGAGGGAUAUGGGUGACAAGGUAUUUGUGAACAAUAAUUAGAUGUUUGAUUAUUCCUUUACAUUAUCUUAGAAUUAUGGAUGAAUUGUGAAGUUACUAUAAAUUGAGCAUCUUCCUAGAAAUUGGGAUACCUAAUUGAGGUUUUGGGUU